This 415-nucleotide long non-coding RNA is filed under the name Oncorhynchus mykiss (rainbow trout). Its description in RNAcentral is "lncRNA (ENSOMYG00000057440.1)". The record is from RNAcentral. Lineage: Eukaryota; Metazoa; Chordata; Actinopteri; Salmoniformes; Salmonidae.
CCCUACAUCCACGCCCUCUGAGACCCCUUCAGCAGCAGUGUCACCCUGCUGGACCCCUUUGCCCCGCUCUUCCCCCCACAUCCCAGCCCUGUAUUUGCUGAAGAUGGACGAGGAGCGGGGACGACGACGACGAUCACUGCUGGGCCUCCUGCAACAGCUGGCCAGCCCAGAUGCUGCGCCCGUGCUUCCUGAGGGUGGCACCUCCGUGUGUUCAGCUGGUUCAGCAGCUGUCUGGAUGGUGAGGAGGUAGCACCUACCUGCCCGGCAUCUGUGAGAGGGCCAAACUACUGGUGCUGGUAUGCUUUCAUAAUCAUCAUCAUUGUUUAUUCUCAUACACUGUGUCCAUCUUUGCCUCAUGAUGACAAGGGAAGGAAAUAUACGGAGCCAUAUAUAUCGCUCUGAAAAUGUGUAGAAU